Non-coding RNA from Solanum lycopersicum (tomato), 651 nucleotides. NCBI's taxonomy places the organism in Eukaryota, Viridiplantae, Streptophyta, Magnoliopsida, Solanales, Solanaceae. The record is from RefSeq and is a predicted model, not a curated record.
UAUGGAAGGGUAUCCUUGCCGAGUGCUAAUAAUAGGAGGGGUUAUGUCUAUGGUGGGACAUAUAGAUUUUGAUUAACUCUGAUUUCGAUUUUGAUUAACUCUGAUUCGAGAGGCUAAGUAAUGGGUUACAAUGGGGGGUGAAUGGUCUGGAAUUUGAGUGGAAUUAUUUUUGCUGAAGGAACUAUUGAUAGGAGGUCUGUUUUGAUAUUGCUCGGAGUUAUUUCCCUCUCUUCCUUUUUCUUCUUCAUCAUCAUCCGUACUUAUUCCACUACCUUACCGGCCCUACGAUGUGUCGGCGGUGAAGAUUAAUCGAUGCCUUUCUUCUUCUUUUUCUUCUGUUGCGCUGCCAUUUGAUCUUUCUCCUCCUCCCAUCGACCACGACCUCCUCGAUACUAUGACAAUUGUUCGGGCAAAGGUAUCAGAAGAUGGGGUAAUGGGGAUAUUCGAUAAUGACGAGGAGGCAUUGGAUGCUGUUGAGAAUGGUGUUGCGGUGUGUAUCUAGCUUGAUUCAGGUUUUCUUGGUUGUGGAUCUUUCACACUAUGGCAGGAUAAGAGGUAAAUCCAUCCAUACAUUAUCAUUGUGAAAAUGAUUCUGUUAUAUUUUAUAAGACAACUCCAAGUUUAAUUUGUGAAUAAUCUAUUGACGUGGAG